UGUAAACAUCCUUGACUGGAAGCUGAGGUUUUGACAGCGAGGGCUUUCAGUCGGAUGUUUGCAGC
Astatotilapia calliptera (eastern happy) is the source of this 65-nucleotide microRNA precursor. The record is from Ensembl. Lineage: Eukaryota; Metazoa; Chordata; Actinopteri; Cichliformes; Cichlidae.